CUGUGAUAGUCACAAUGCACCACUGUGAUAUCACAAUGCACCACUGUGAUAGUCACAAUGCACCACUGUGACAUCACAAUGCACCACUGUGACAGUCACAAU
This 102-nucleotide microRNA precursor is filed under the name Cricetulus griseus (Chinese hamster). Its description in RNAcentral is "miRNA (ENSCGRG00000021525.1)". The record is from RNAcentral. Lineage: Eukaryota; Metazoa; Chordata; Mammalia; Rodentia; Cricetidae.